Molecule: ribosomal RNA, 484 nt
Filed under: uncultured bacterium
Lineage: Bacteria
Description: partial 16S ribosomal RNA
Rfam family: Bacterial small subunit ribosomal RNA
Source: RNAcentral
AUUGAACGCUGGCGGCAGGCCUAACACAUGCAAGUCGAGCGGAUGAAGGGAGCUUGCUCCUGGAUUCAGCGGCGGACGGGUGAGUAAUGCCUAGGAAUCUGCCUGGUAGUGGGGGAUAACGUCCGGAAACGGGCGCUAAUACCGCAUACGUCCUGAGGGAGAAAGUGGGGGAUCUUCGGACCUCACGCUAUCAGAUGAGCCUAGGUCGGAUUAGCUAGUUGGUGGGGUAAAGGCCCACCAAGGCGACGAUCCGUAACUGGUCUGAGAGGAUGAUCAGUCACACUGGAACUGAGACACGGUCCGGACUCCUACGGGAGGCAGCAGUGGGGAAUAUUGGACAAUGGGCGAAAGCCUGAUCCAGCCAUGCCGCGUGUGUGAAGAAGGUCUUCGGAUUGUAAAGCACUUUAAGUUGGGAGGAAGGGCAGUAAGUUAAUACCUUGCUGUUUUGACGUUACCAACAGAAUAAGCACCGGCUAACUUCGUG